Molecule: ribosomal RNA, 494 nt
Filed under: uncultured bacterium
Lineage: Bacteria
Description: partial 16S ribosomal RNA
Rfam family: Bacterial small subunit ribosomal RNA
Source: RNAcentral
GACGAACGCUGGCGGCGUGCUUAACACAUGCAAGUCGAACGGUGAAGCGCCUUCCUUUUUGGUGGGUGUGGAUGAGUGGCGAACGGGUGAGUAACACGUGAGUAACCUGCCCCCUUCUUCUGGAUAACCGCAUGCCAGUGUUGCUAAUACGGGAUAUUCUGGGUCUGUCGCUUGAUGGGUCUGGGAAAGAUUUUGUUUCGGUGGGGGAUGGGCUCGCGGCCUAUCAGCUUGUUGGUGGGGUGAUGGCCUACCAAGGCGGUGACGGGUAGCCGGCCUGAGAGGGUGGACGGUCACACUGGGGCGGCGACACGGCGCAGACUACUGCAGGAGGCAGCAGUGGGGAAUAUUGCACAAUGGGCGCAAGGCUGAUGCAGCGACGCCGCGUGAGGGAUGGAGGCCUGCGGGUUGUGAACCUCUUUCGCCAGUGAAGCAGGCCUGCCUCGUUUGUGGGUGGGUUGACGGUAGCUGGAGAAGAAGCGCCGGCUAACUACGUG